AUGCCUGUGAAGAGAGCCCUUCAGUUACAAGACAAAGAAAAUAGCCCUGCUAAGAGGCGAGCACCAAACAGGGACUAUUCCCCUGUGACUGGAACCCAAAUGAGUCCCACGACAAAACCUGCAGGUACUAAAACCCACAGACUAGCUACUGUAUUUUCUUAGACCUAUAAAACUUAUAUUUUGCCCCCCAGGAGUUUUCAUUUUUGAUUUUUUCGUUGUU
This is a long non-coding RNA of Cyprinus carpio (common carp), 220 nucleotides long. The record is from Ensembl. NCBI's taxonomy places the organism in Eukaryota, Metazoa, Chordata, Actinopteri, Cypriniformes, Cyprinidae.